UGUCACUGACGCCUGAAACUCCACCAUUAGGGAUUCAUUCCUUUGGGUUCAGGGAUUGUUCCCUGUUGAAAUGGAAAUACCUCCUGAGAGGGGUGAACACAGUGCUAUCAGUCAUUUACAGUGUGGCGUGAAUCAUCGUAGCAGAUCCUUUCCGACCUGUUAGCUCAAGGAAAGCUGAGGAUUUUUCGAGACUGGGCAGAGCCGUGGGGACACUACUCACCUGGGAAGAGGAGAGCUGACACGCUUUAAAGGGCACGUUCCACUUGGGACAGUGCUUCUUGAUCAGAGGCUACCGGACUGGCCAGCACGGAGGCAGGAAGUGAACCCAUGGAAGCAAAAGAUGAGAAGUCAGAACAAAGGAAGACAAAGAAACAGGGGAGCUGGCUCGUGUUCUCACCUCGACCGGUCCCACAUGAGCACCCACAAGCUGGAUGCCUCUGAGCAAGACUGAGUACUUUUCUCAAAGCGAGUCCGAGUUGGGACCUUGGAGUCCAGCACUGCUGGACAUGGAUUUUAGCUUAAAAUACUUAAGGGCAAGUUUUUGGUAAGUUUUUAUUAUUAUUGUUUUGUCUUUUUAGGGCUGCAGCUGCAGCACAUGGAAGUUCCCAGGCUAGGGGUUGAAUCGGAGCUGCAGCUGCUGGCCUACACCACAGCCACAGGCACGCCGGAUCCCACAUGCAUCUGCGACCUACACCACAGCUCAUGGAACACUGGCAGGCCAGGCCACACUUGAAUUUACUCAAGCCCAGCCUGGUCCUCAUCUCUGAGCUCCCAAUCUGUAUAACCAAUUGCCUCUUCACCACUUCCAGGCUAUCUCCAAGACAGGCGCCUGCAACACGUCUGCAGGUGAACUCAUACUCUCUGGGUACUCCUGGAUCUCUUCCGGUGUUCUCCCCUCUCCCCACCAUUACGGAGGUCAGAAAACCAAGAGUUACCUUGAAUACCCCUUCCAUUUCCCAUCCAGAAUAAAUACCUGUCAGCUUUGCUUCCUAAAUGUCUUUUCUCUAGUCCGAGCUACCAUCACUUCCUUUCUGCCUUCCCUCCCAGCCAUUUUGCCUACUGCAACCAGAGUAAUCCUGCAAAAUGCAAAUCUGAUAUUGUUCACUCCCCCCCACGACAGCCCAUUUAAAAACUGUCCCUGGGACAGUUUAAUCUACUACUUUGAACACAUUCUUAAACUAGAGAGGCUGUAAGCUCAAGCUAGAGACUUAGCUGGAAGUUGGCAAACAGGGAUCUAGUCCUAGCUGUCACUGACUUGGUGCGUGGCCUCUGUCACUACUUCUCACUAGGUUGGUUUUCCAGUCUGUGAUAUGGGAUAAAUAUUCUUGGAUUCACAAAGUUCAAAAGAAAGAGGCUGUGAAAGCACUAGGUAAGUUACUAGAUGUAACGGAUCUGUCAUGAAGUCUGGAAAAGGAAUGAAGCUCUAAUUGCAGACCUUGGGGAGACGGACAACAGAG
Non-coding RNA from Sus scrofa (pig), 1457 nucleotides. NCBI's taxonomy places the organism in Eukaryota, Metazoa, Chordata, Mammalia, Artiodactyla, Suidae. The record is from RefSeq and is a predicted model, not a curated record.